RNAcentral lists this ribosomal RNA (403 nucleotides) under uncultured Eubacteriales bacterium. RNAcentral's name for it is "bacterial SSU rRNA". It matches the Rfam family "Bacterial small subunit ribosomal RNA", at positions 356 to 774 of the family's 1533-position model. The record is from RNAcentral. Lineage: Bacteria; Bacillati; Bacillota; Clostridia; Eubacteriales.
GGGGGAUAUUGCACAAUGGAGGAAACUCUGAUGCAGCAACGCCGCGUGAGGGAAGACGGUUUUCGGAUUGUAAACCUCUCUCCUUGGUGACGAAACAAAUGACGGUAGCCAAGGAGGAAGCUCCGGCUAACUACGUGCCAGCAGCCGCGGUAAUACGAGGGGAGCUAGCGUUGUCCGGAUUUACUGGGCGUAAAGGGUGCGUAGGCGGCCUUGUAAGUCAGAUGUGAAAGGCUACGGCUCAACCGUAGUAAGCAUUUGAAACUGCAGGGCUUGAGUGCAGGAGAGGAGAGUGGAAUUCCUAGUGUAGCGGUGAAAUGCGUAGAUAUUAGGAGGAACACCAGUGGCGAAGGCGACUCUCUGGACUGUAACUGACGCUGAGGCACGAAAGCGUGUGGAGCAAACA